RNAcentral lists this ribosomal RNA (292 nucleotides) under uncultured bacterium. RNAcentral describes it as "partial 16S ribosomal RNA". It matches the Rfam family "Bacterial small subunit ribosomal RNA", at positions 505 to 796 of the family's 1533-position model. The record is from RNAcentral.
GUGCCAGCAGCCGCGGUAAUACGAAGGGUGCAAGCGUUAAUCGGAAUUACUGGGCGUAAAGCGUGCGUAGGCGGUUUGUUAAGUCUGCUGUGAAAUCCCCGGGCUCAACCUGGGAAUGGCAGUGGAUACUGGCAAGCUAGAGUGUGUCAGAGGAUGGUGGAAUUCCCGGUGUAGCGGUGAAAUGCGUAGAGAUCGGGAGGAACAUCAGUGGCGAAGGCGGCCAUCUGGGACAACACUGACGCUGAGGCACGAAAGCGUGGGGAGCAAACAGGAUUAGAAACCCCAGUAGUCC